RNAcentral lists this ribosomal RNA (478 nucleotides) under uncultured bacterium. Its description in RNAcentral is "partial 16S ribosomal RNA". It matches the Rfam family "Bacterial small subunit ribosomal RNA", at positions 28 to 523 of the family's 1533-position model. The record is from RNAcentral.
GACGAACGCUGGCGGCGUGCUUAACACAUGCAAGUCGAACGGUAAGGCCCUUCGGGGUACACGAGUGGCGAACGGGUGAGUAACACGUGGGUGAUCUGCCCUGCACUUCGGGAUAAGCCUGGGAAACUGGGUCUAAUACCGGAUAGGACCACUGCCUGCAUGGGUGGUGGUGGAAAGCUUUUGCGGUGUGGGAUGGGCCCGCGGCCUAUCAGCUUGUUGGUGGGGUGAUGGCCUACCAAGGCGACGACGGGUAGCCGGCCUGAGAGGGUGACCGGCCACACUGGGACUGAGAGACGGCCCAGACUCCUACGGGAGGCAGCAGUGGGGAAUAUUGCACAAUGGGCGCAAGCCUGAUGCAGCGACGCCGCGUGAGGGGUGAUGGACUUCGGGUUGUAAACCUCUUUCAGCACCGACGAAGCGCAAGUGACGGUAGGUGCAGAAGAAGGACCGGCCAACUACGUGCCAGCAGCCGCCGUAA